UCGAACGGCAGCACGGGAGCAAUCCUGGUGGCGAGUGGCGAACGGGUGAGUAAUACAUCGGAACGUGCCCAGUAGUGGGGGAUAGCCCGGCGAAAGCCGGAUUAAUACCGCAUACGACCUACGGGUGAAAGCGGGGGAUCGCAAGACCUCGCGCUAUUGGAGCGGCCGAUGGCAGAUUAGCUUGCUGGUGGGGUAAAGGCCUACCAAGGCGACGAUCUGUAGCUGGUCUGAGAGGACGACCAGCCACACUGGGACUGAGACACGGCCCAGACUCCUACGGGAGGCAGCAGUGGGGAAUUUUGGACAAUGGGCGCAAGCCUGAUCCAGCCAUGCCGCGUGCGGGAAGAAGGCCUUCGGGUUGUAAACCGCUUUUGUCAGGGAAGAAACGCUCCGGGCCAAUACCCCGGAGUAAUGACGGUACCUGAAGAAUAAGCACCGGCUAACUACGUGCCAGCAGCCGCGGUAAUACGUAGGGUGCAAGCGUUAAUCGGAAUUACUGGGCGUAAAGCGUGCGCAGGCGGCUUUGCAAGACAGAUGUGAAAUCCCCGGGCUUAACCUGGGAACUGCACUUGUGACUGCAUGGCUGGAGUGCGGCAGAGGGGGAUGGAAUUCCGCGUGUAGCAGUGAAAUGCGUAGAUAUGCGGAGGAACACCGAUGGCGAAGGCAAUCCCCUGGGCCUGCACUGACGCUCAUGCACGAAAGCGUGGGGAGCAAACAGGAUUAGAUACCCUG
Molecule: ribosomal RNA, 732 nt
Filed under: uncultured bacterium
Lineage: Bacteria
Description: bacterial SSU rRNA
Rfam family: Bacterial small subunit ribosomal RNA
Source: RNAcentral